AACGGCUAUACCAAGCUGAAUAUAUCAGGCUCUCGUUAGAUCACCGAAGUCAAGCAUCAUUGGGCGCUUCAGUACUUGGGUGGGUGACCACCUGGGAACACCGCG
This 105-nucleotide ribosomal RNA is filed under the name Caerostris extrusa. Lineage: Eukaryota; Metazoa; Arthropoda; Arachnida; Araneae; Araneidae. The record is from RNAcentral.